UCCUCAGUAGCUCAGUGGCAGAGUAGUCAACUAUUAACAGAUUGGUCGUAGGUUCCAAACCUACUUGGGGAG
RNAcentral lists this transfer RNA (72 nucleotides) under Vitis vinifera (wine grape). It matches the Rfam family "tRNA". Rfam says of the family: Transfer RNA (tRNA) molecules are approximately 80 nucleotides in length. The record is from Rfam by way of RNAcentral. Lineage: Eukaryota; Viridiplantae; Streptophyta; Magnoliopsida; Vitales; Vitaceae.